AUCCUGGCUCAGAUUAAACGCUGGCGGCAUGCCUUACACAUGCAAGUCGAACGGCAGCACGGGGGCAACCCUGGUGGCGAGUGGCGAACGGGUGAGUAACACAUCGGAACGUGCCCUGGAGUGGGGGAUAACGCAGCGAAAGCUACGCUAAUACCGCAUAUUCUGUGAGCAGGAAAGCAGGGGAUCGCAAGACCUUGCGCUCUGGGAGCGGCCGAUGUCGGAUUAGCUAGUUGGUGGGGUAAAGGCCUACCAAGGCGACGAUCCGUAGCGGGUCUGAGAGGAUGAUCCGCCACACUGGGACUGAGACACGGCCCAGACUCCUACGGGAGGCAGCAGUGGGGAAUUUUGGACAAUGGGCGCAAGCCUGAUCCAGCCAUGCCGCGUGAGUGAAGAAGGCCUUCGGGUUGUAAAGCUCUUUCGGCGGGGAAGAAAUUGCGCAGGUUAAUACCCUGCGUAGAUGACGGUACCCGAAUAAGAAGCACCGGCUAACUACGUG
RNAcentral lists this ribosomal RNA (496 nucleotides) under uncultured bacterium. Its description in RNAcentral is "bacterial SSU rRNA". It matches the Rfam family "Bacterial small subunit ribosomal RNA", at positions 16 to 507 of the family's 1533-position model. The record is from RNAcentral.